GAUGAACGCUGGCGGUGUGUCUAAGGCAUGCAAGUCGAGCGAGACGGUCUGCUGUAGCAAUACAAUGGAUCGUCUAGCGGCAAACGGGUGAGUAACACAUUGGUAACCUGCCUCCGAGACGGGCACAACACUGCGAAAGCGGUGCUAAUUCCCGAUGGCCUCUUCGGUGAGAAUCCGAAAGAGUAAACGCCCAAAAGGACGCUCGGAGAGGGGCCGUAUGGCCUANCAGCUAGUUGGUGCGGUAAUGGCGCACCAAGGCGACGACGGGUAGCAGGCGUGAGAGCGCGACCUGCCUCAGUGGGACUGCGACACUGCCCACACUCC
RNAcentral lists this ribosomal RNA (324 nucleotides) under uncultured bacterium. RNAcentral describes it as "bacterial SSU rRNA". It matches the Rfam family "Bacterial small subunit ribosomal RNA", at positions 28 to 339 of the family's 1533-position model. The record is from RNAcentral.